RNAcentral lists this ribosomal RNA (501 nucleotides) under uncultured bacterium. RNAcentral's name for it is "partial 16S ribosomal RNA". It matches the Rfam family "Bacterial small subunit ribosomal RNA", at positions 30 to 523 of the family's 1533-position model. The record is from RNAcentral.
AUUGAACGCUGGCGGCAGGCUUAACACAUGCAAGUCGAGCGGGGGAAGGUAGCUUGCUACCGGACCUAGCGGCGGACGGGUGAGUAAUGCUUAGGAAUCUGCCUAUUAGUGGGGGACAACAUCUCGAAAGGGAUGCUAAUACCGCAUACGUCCUACGGGAGAAAGCAGGGGAUCUUCGGACCUUGCGCCAAUAGAUGAGCCUAAGUCGGAUUAGCUAGUUGGUGGGGUAAAGGCCUACCAAGGCGAAGAUCUGUAGCGGGUCUGAGAGGAUGCUCCGCCACACUGGGACUGAGACACGGCCCAGACUCCUACGGGAGGCAGCAGUGGGGAAUAUUGGACAAUGGGGGGAACCCUGAUCUAGCCAUGCCGCGUGUGUGAAGAAGGCCUUAUGGUUGUAAAGCACUUUAAGCGAGGAGGAGGCUACUCUAGUUAAUACCUAGGGAUAGUGGACGUUACUCGCAGAAUAAGCACCGGCUAACUCUGUGCCAGCAGCCGCAGUAA